GUUAGAGUUUCCCUCCUGUACUUCUGUGUGUGUGUGUGUGUGUGUGUGUGUGCGUGCGUGUGCGUGUGCGUGCGUGUGUGUUCUUAUGGUAAAACAUAAUGUUUUCUAAAGCUGAUGAUGAGUUUCCUCGUGAGACAGGGACACGUCUGUCCUUGUCUCAUUGGCUGAUCCAGGAACCUCCUACAUGCACUGUGACUCCUGCAGCCCGCGGGUUCUUCUCUGCUGCGGUGCCGUUUCCUGUGUGCGUGCACAGACGUUUGUGUUGCUAUGAGAAGAAGCUCACACUGAUUUACAUGCGUAGCUGGAAAUAAACGGAAAACACAACUUCUACUUCUGAGCCUCUUGAUUCCAGAUUUGCUUUGAGGAACACAUGAGCUCCUCUCUCUGUCUCAGCACCCGUCUCCUGCCUCCGGCCUUCCAGCAGCAGACGGGCGGAGCAGGUGAAGCGGGCGUGGACGAGGAAGCACAGGAAGCGAGGCGUCUGUCCGACCGGCCGUCGCUGUGCGAGCAGCAGAAGAAGCUGGAGGACAAGCGGAGUCUUCUCCAGGAGACCCUGGGUCACCAGCUACUUCAGGAAGUUCCCCAUGCACAUCUACUGCCUCCCAGUCCAGGCGGCCAAUCAGAGGAGCCGGAAGCGGGUCCUAACGAAGAGGAGAUGAUGCGUUGAGAUUAUUUCUGUUUUUAAUGUUUUUUCAAUCAAAAAAUAAAUCCAAC
Long non-coding RNA from Gasterosteus aculeatus aculeatus (three-spined stickleback), 714 nucleotides. Lineage: Eukaryota; Metazoa; Chordata; Actinopteri; Perciformes; Gasterosteidae. The record is from Ensembl.